RNAcentral lists this unclassified non-coding RNA (240 nucleotides) under soil metagenome. Its description in RNAcentral is "partial contains 5.8S ribosomal RNA, internal transcribed spacer 2, and large subunit ribosomal RNA". The record is from RNAcentral.
AAGACUAUAGACCUGCGGAGUACCUGCGGAAGGAUCAUUACCGAGUUUUCAACUCCCUAACCCUUCUGUGAACCUACCUAUCGUUGCUUCGGCGGACUCGCCCCAGCCCGGACGCGGACUGGACCAGCGGCCCGCCGGGGACCUCAAACUCUUGUAUUCCAGCAUCUUCUGAAUACGCCGCAAGGCAAAACAAAUGAAUCAAAACUUUUAACAACGGAUCUCUAGAUCGGAAGAGCACAC